GCUGCGGCGGCGCACUUGCAUUACCUAAACCAAGCAAAGCAAACCCAAGCCACCCUAUCCCCACCGCCACCUCUUCAUAUACAUAUGCUUGUGUGCCUUUGUCUCUUUUUAUGGUCAAAACCCCUUCUGUCUCUUUUUAGCCUGGAAGAGGAAAGAUUUGAUCUUUCUUCCUUACCAGUUGUUUAAUUUCUGUUCUAUUCCAUUGCUUGUAAGCCAGGGACUGUCUGGCAAGCAGGUGUAAAUGGCUCUGGUGAACAGAAACUUUGCCCAUAUGGGUCCAACUCCUAUUUUGAGGAGUGAUUUGUUAAUUGGAUACACAGAACAGAACUCGUUGAUGAUGGAGAAGAGGCAGUUGUUCCUGAGAAGCUAUCAGUUCUGCAGAAAAAAGAGUCUGACAGAAAGAAUCAAGAGAUCUUUGGUCAGAGUGAAGAAAGUGAUAUGGCUGAGACUACGAUCUGCUCGUAAACU
This 468-nucleotide unclassified non-coding RNA is filed under the name Hevea brasiliensis (rubber tree). The record is from RNAcentral. Lineage: Eukaryota; Viridiplantae; Streptophyta; Magnoliopsida; Malpighiales; Euphorbiaceae.